GCGGGUGAAAAGCCCGCUCGCCGGAAGACCAAGGGUUCCUGUCCAACGUUAAUCGGGGCAGGGUGAGUCGACCCCUAAGGCGAGGCCGAAAGGCGUAGUCGAUGGGAAACAGGUUAAUAUUCCUGUACUUGGUGUUACUGCGAAGGGGGGACGGAGAAGGCUAUGUUAGCCGGGCGACGGUUGUCCCGGUUUAAGCAUGUAGGCGGAACGAUUAGGUAAAUCCGGUCGUUUAUUAACGCUGAGGUGUGAUGACGAGGCACUACGGUGCUGAAGUAACAAAUGCCCUGCUUCCAGGAAAAGCCUCUAAGCAUCAGGUAACAUCAAAUCGUACCCCAAACCGACACAGGUGGUCAGGUAGAGAAUACCAAGGCGCUUGAGAGAACUCGGGUGAAGGAACUAGGCAAAAUGGUGCCGUAACUUCGGGAGAAGGCACGCUGAUAUGUAGGUGAAGCCCCUGCGGGUGGAGCUGAAAUCAGUCGAAGAUACCAGCUGGCUGCAACUGUUUAUUAAAAACACAGCACUGUGCAAACACGAAAGUGGACGUAUACGGUGUGACGCCUGCCCGGUGCCGGAAGGUUAAUUGAUGGGGUUAGCGGCAACGCGAAGCUCUUGAUCGAAGCCCCGGUAAACGGCGGCCGUAACUAUAACGGUCCUAAGGUAGCGAAAUUCCUUGUCGGGUAAGUUCCGACCUGCACGAAUGGCGUAAUGAUGGCCAGGCUGUCUCCACCCGAGACUCAGUGAAAUUGAACUCGCUGUGAAGAUGCAGUGUACCCGCGGCAAGACGGAAAGACCCCGUGAACCUUUACUAUAGCUUGACACUGAACACUGGUCCUUGAUGUGUAGGAUAGGUGGGAGGCUUUGAAGCGUGGACGCCAGUCUGCGUGGAGCCGACCUUGAAAUACCACCCUUUAAUGGCUGGUGUUCUAACGUAGACCCGUAAUCCGGGUUGCGGACAGUGUCUGGUGGGUAGUUUGACUGGGGCGGUCUCCUCCCAAAGAGUAACGGAGGAGCACGAAGGUUAGCUAAUCCUGGUCGGACAUCAGGAGGUUAGUGCAAUGGCAUAAGCUAGCUUGACUGCGAGAGUGACGGCUCGAGCAGGUGCGAAAGCAGGUCAUAGUGAUCCGGUGGUUCUGAAUGGAAGGGCCAUCGCUCAACGGAUAAAAGGUACUCCGGGGAUAACAGGCUGAUACCGCCCAAGAGUUCAUAUCGACGGCGGUGUUUGGCACCUCGAUGUCGGCUCAUCACAUCCUGGGGCUGAAGUAGGUCCCAAGGGUAUGGCUGUUCGCCAUUUAAAGUGGUACGCGAGCUGGGUUUAGAACGUCGUGAGACAGUUCGGUCCCUAUCUGCCGUGGGCGCUGGAGAAUUGAGGGGGGCUGCUCCUAGUACGAGAGGACCGGAGUGGACGCAUCACUGGUGUUCGGGUUGUCAUGCCAAUGGCACUGCCCGGUAGCUAAAUGCGGAAAAGAUAAGUGCUGAAAGCAUCUAAGCACGAAACUUGCCCCGAGAUGAGUUCUCCCUGACCCUUUAAGGGUCCUGAAGGAACGUUGAAGACUACGACGUUGAUAGGUCGGGUGUGUAAGCGCAGCGAUGCGUUGAGCUAACCGAUACUAAUGAACCGUGAGGCUUAACCUU
Molecule: ribosomal RNA, 1632 nt
Filed under: Enterobacter asburiae
Lineage: Bacteria; Pseudomonadati; Pseudomonadota; Gammaproteobacteria; Enterobacterales; Enterobacteriaceae
Description: partial 23S ribosomal RNA
Rfam family: Bacterial large subunit ribosomal RNA
Source: RNAcentral